GUUGAGCUCUGGGAGGCGAGCACGCAAGCGUCAGGGCUCCGCGCCACCUGCUGGCCAGACGAGGUAGUGCGGCGCCCGCUGGGCGAACUCCUGGCGCUCCGCUCUUCAAAGUGAUCCACACCAGACCUGAAGUUAAGUCAGCCCUGCUAAGAAAAGACCGAAUUAUCUUUCUCUACAUAGAGAAUUAAAGGGUGAAACUGUUACCACAUGGGGACCAAGGGUAUGAAGCUGUAAUGUACUGGAAGGAAGAAAAAGCAGCUCGGAGCUGCCUCAGGAAGUCGCUCUCAACAGUCACGGAACCGCCGCUGUUGUUACUGUUAUAGAGCGCUCAAUCGUAUGAGCCUCCGCCUCACAACGUCUAGAUGUCCUUUGGGCACACUCCAGGCUGAUCGGCAAAGACACAGAACAAGCUGGGAGACCCAGCUGCCAGAACGGCUCCUUCACUCACUGGCUUCGCAGCUGGGCGCCCACAGGAGUUUCUCUCCAGCCCCGGCAUGCACUCUUACGCAGGCUCCCUUUACCUGUGUGUGCACUUGAGCUGUCUGGUGGCCACGCAGAAAACUGACCGAGGCUCCCUGAACAACAGAAGCUAAAGCUUGAGAGUGUUGCCUUCCACUUCCUUAUGAAGCACCUGGGGUCCUCAAGUCAGUCUGCCCCAAAGUAGAAACACGCCAGGAACACUAGCAAGUGAGGACAAGUAGAAAGAACUGGGUCCUCCAGUGCAGACAAGGUGACUGGAAAGGAAGGACAGAAUUGCUUAGAGCAAUUUGGGGAGGCUCAUGCCUGUGCAAGGGUUUGCAAGACUUGACUGAAAUUGACAAAGAGCAAGACACAAGGUGCAGAUGAAAGGAUCUGUCUUGGAGAGCGAGGCCAAGGAAUCCAUGAGGGAUUGAACACAGGACCUUGCGCUUUCGAGGCAGGUGGCAGAACCGCUGAGCUAAAUCCCCAGCCCUGCAUUUCUAAGAGUAUAAAAUAUAAAUGUAUUCCAUAACAACAGUAUAGUAAUUUAGUAUAUGAAUGUUAAUAUUAACCC
Molecule: long non-coding RNA, 1033 nt
Filed under: Heterocephalus glaber (naked mole-rat)
Lineage: Eukaryota; Metazoa; Chordata; Mammalia; Rodentia; Bathyergidae
Description: lncRNA (ENSHGLG00000043195.1)
Source: RNAcentral